CAGAGGGGGCAAGCGUUGUUCGGAAUUACUGGGCGUAAAGGGCGCGUAGGCGGCCUGUUAAGUCGAACGUGAAAUCCCCAAGCUUAACUUGGGAACUGCGUCCGAUACUGGCAGGCUUGAAUUCGGGAGAGGGAUGUGGAAUUCCAGGUGUAGCGGUGAAAUGCGUAGAUAUCUGGAGGAACACCGGUGGCGAAGGCGGCAUCCUGGACCGAAAUUGACGCUGAUGCGCGAAAGCCAGGGGAGCAAACGGGAUUAGAUACCCCGGUAGUCCUGGCCCUAAACGAUGAAUGCUUGGUGUGGCGGGUAUCGAUCCCUGCCGUGCCGAAGCUAACGCAUUAAGCAUUCCGCCUGGGGAGUACGGUCGCAAGGCUG
RNAcentral lists this ribosomal RNA (372 nucleotides) under uncultured organism. RNAcentral's name for it is "bacterial SSU rRNA". It matches the Rfam family "Bacterial small subunit ribosomal RNA", at positions 526 to 896 of the family's 1533-position model. The record is from RNAcentral.